Molecule: ribosomal RNA, 253 nt
Filed under: uncultured bacterium
Lineage: Bacteria
Description: partial 16S ribosomal RNA
Rfam family: Bacterial small subunit ribosomal RNA
Source: RNAcentral
UACGAAGGGGGCUAGCGUUGCUCGGAAUCACUGGGCGUAAAGCGCACGUAGGCGGCUUUCUAAGUCAGGGGUGAAAUCCUGGAGCUCAACUCCAGAACUGCCUUUGAUACUGGAGAGCUCGAGUCCGGAAGAGGUGAGUGGAACUCCGAGUGUAGAGGUGAAAUUCGUAGAUAUUCGGAAGAACACCAGUGGCGAAGGCGGCUCACUGGUCCGGUACUGACGCUGAGACGCGAAAGCGUGGGGAGCGAACAGG